RNAcentral lists this unclassified non-coding RNA (4004 nucleotides) under Hevea brasiliensis (rubber tree). Lineage: Eukaryota; Viridiplantae; Streptophyta; Magnoliopsida; Malpighiales; Euphorbiaceae. The record is from RNAcentral.
GUAGAGUUCAAAGAAUCAAGACAUCCACAAUUAAACAUCUUGUAAAGUAUCAUAAAUAGGAAAAAAAAGUAUGCUUUUGAACUUGAAAGUGGUAACGUGCAAAGGGAAAGACAACUGAAUGAUGAGAAAACUUAUGUUUAUACUUCUACCUAAAAUGAUUACAAUGUUAACAAAACUGAGCUUCUCCAUGCUAUAAGAGAAUAUCAUAUUUUGCUUCUCAUUCUAACUAACUUUGCUAGUGUUUCUUGCGCAGCCAAGGUUUGGGCAUUGUUGUGGCCAAGCAUCACUGUCCGGAUACUUGUACAAGUCCUACAUAAUUUCUCGCCACUAUCAAAAUGCCCGCCUCUCAGCAGCAACUUUGCCCUAGUUUCAAGUAAAGUAGCCUUCAACAAAGUUACAUCGUGCCACACAUAUUCAUCCACUCUUUGAUGUCCUUGUAUUGUCUUCUUCCAACAAAGUGAAUCAUGGCACCUGUCUUGUAUUUGUGACACAAAUGUCUUCUCUACUUCUUCAAGCACAUUAGUGCACACUUUCAGAAGCUCCAGUGCUGAAUUACACCUUGAGAAGGUUGUGAAGGCUCUAAUUGCUAGUGGGAGUGCUGUCUUUUUUAUGUACAAAACAAUAUCAAUUGCCUUCAACUGGACAAGUGGGGGUUCAGAUUUGAAUCCAAAGACAAGGAAUGCAGAUGCCCAUAAAUGAUCAGAGUUGAUCAUCGGGUUGCCAAUUUUCCUUACUCCUUGAACAGUGGCCUUGGCAGCUGAUAAACCUUCUUUUCUUCUUGCAAACACUUGAGUUAUGGGGUGGAACUGAAUCCAGCAAGCAGGAUGCCUGUUAGCUUUCCGUGCUAGUCCUAGUUUAACAAGAAGAAUGGCAGAAUCUUCUUCACUUUGGGGCGCUAAUCCACAACCAGAGCAGCAGGCAAAUGGAAGGCUUAGACAUUUGGUCCAUUUUUUAAAUCUAUUUCCAAUAGUAGGCAUAUCCUUAGCUGCUGUUGCCAGCAAAGUUACUGAAAUGGGUGCUGGAGCAAACCAAGCACCAACGAGAAGCAUUCUGGAGGCAAGAACGUUCUUUGUCCCAUUGGUUUGCUGCAGAACAUUGAGACAAAAAUUUAGAAGCUUCAUUAGGAAAGGAUUGUUUUUACAGUAUUGUUCAUCAUUUAUGCUCAUAUAGGAGCAUGCAGAACCAUCUUCAGGUGGAACUUGAUUAACUGCUUCGAAGAGUUCUGAUGGAGAAAUUGAAAACUCUGAAAGAAGUGAUCCAAUCACCCAUAAACCAAAGCUCAACCUUCCCAAUUUCUCAUCAAAUUUCUGAAGAAAUUCUAGCUCAUCGCGUUGGUAGUCCUUUUUCCUUCGCCCUCUCAUUAAGAUCAUUGCAUCUGCCAAUGGCAAUGGUGGAAGCUGCAUCAUCUCAAAAUUCAUCACCUUGGGUAGUCUGCUUGUGAUAAUCACGUGUGACCCUCCAGUGUUCCUUGGAAUCAAAUCAUACAGGUCCUUCCCUUCCCACCAUUCUGUUUCUGUCUCAAGAUUGUCAAUAAUAAGUAGAUAUGGCACGUCUCGGAACAGCUCCCUUUUGACUCUUUUGAAUGCUUCAAAUUCUUGCUCUUCAAAGCUUCUAAUUCUCUCUCGUUCCUUUUCACCAUCAGCGCUCACAUCCAACCCCAGAUUAAGUGAGAGAUUUAGUAUGUUCUGCCUGAGAUAUCGAGCUUCGCCACCAACCCACAAAAUCAUUUUAUAUCUCUGAGAAUACCUAUAAGCAAAUUCAAGUGCAAGCUCUGUCUUUCCAAUGCCUGCAACGCCAUUUAUGCAAAAAACACUGCUGCAACCCAGGCACUUGUAAUUCCCACUUUUUGAUUUCUUGUGUUUUGACCUCUUCCAGGAAUUCCUUCCAAUAACUGGUUCCACCCAGGCCUCCAAUGCUGGUUCUUUGCACUUACCUCCGAACUCCAAAUUAAUAUAUCUCUCCCCUUGGGUGAUGGCUGUCUCACUUUCAUCAUUUCCAAGGUCCCCGGAUUGCUCAUGGGCUUCUCCUUGUACUAUUGGAAUUGAGUACUUAUGUUCAAGAGUAUCCCCACAUCCAAAUAAGGCAGUUUCAAUCUCCAUGAUCUCCUUCUCUCUACCAACAAAAGAUUUGUUUCGUGGAAAUGGAAGCUCCUCCAAUCUUUCUAUUUCAUCUUUCUCAGCCACACUCUUUCGCCCAAGUUUAGCUCUUAAUAGCCCAGCAGCUUUUGCUACACAGCUCCUCCAAUUUGCCUCAUUCGUUUCCAGUUUGAACUCAUGAUACUUCAAUAGUCCAAUUGCUUCUUUACAUUCUUUAUCAAUUGAAUUGCAGUAGAGAAGGCCCAUGAUUUCUGCAAGCUCUGUGCCAAAGAAAAUUGGAAUCAAGUUCUUCUUCUGAGCAAAGAAUCUAAUCUCCUCUAAGCUCAGAUGGUUAAGGAAGCUGGAGUUCGUCACCACCACAAUUCCAUAAGCGACUGAGCUGAUAACUCUGUCUGCAAUCUCGUGGUUUUGAUCUGAGUAUUUGGAUCUAUCCGCAACAAAGCAAGCAAUUCCCUGGAGCUCUAGCUCAGAUUUAAGCCAUUUACAGAAACGGAUAAGAUUAGGAUUCUGGCCAUGGAAGCCAAUGUAAACGUCACAGCUCCUGAGUUUGGCAUUGGAAGCUGGGGAAACAGACCCUUUGAAGGAAAUGCGAGGGACAGGAAAUGAGAAGGAGAUGCGUGGUGGGGCAGGAUCUGGUACUGGAACACAGGUCACAUACUUGAGCUUUGCAUCAGCUGGGUCAUCAGAAUAUUCGUAUUGGUCUGAUGGGAGAGUGUAGGAGCUGCUUGGUAUGUCAUCUGAUUGUGAGCCCCGAUAUGAUGAGACCUGUGGUGAUGGAUAGGUGACCGGUGUUGGAUUCUCUGGUGGAGUAGGUUUUGGGGUUAUAGCUCUUGGUGAUAUAUAUGGUGAUUGCAGGGCUGAAACAAAUGCUGAUGAUGGUGGAGACACUAGGGAAGGAGAGUUUAAUGGGGAUGAUUCAAUCGAGUUCUUUAAGUUUGGAGAAGGCAAAUCUGAAUUUGAAGAAGCAAGGAGAGUUGAGAUGCCUUUACCAGUUUUGCUGCAAGAAGUUGAAAUCUUGAUGGUGAGCCCAUUUGGAGGUUCCUGAGGAAGUUGACUAGAGAGUGAUGCUUCUUCAUCCAUGGCCAUGAAUGAAGCUUCUCAAAUCUUGAUAUCUGCAGUAGAUCUCACUUCUCUUUAGAAAGCUAAACUUCACAAUAUUCUCCACCAGAAAACUUAGUACCUCUCGGUGGAUGUACUCUGAACAAUGUCACAGACUGGAAGGUCACAAAGACGCUCCAUUAUUUGCUUCACAGGAACCAUUUUUGGCUAAGAAAAGCUUGGCUGUUUCUCCAUUGGAUUGGAUUCCUUCCUCACAUUGAAGCUGACAGACACAUUUAAGUGAGUGGUUCUGACAAAAGACUAUGGCCAAAGCCCAGAAGCAGAUGAAUGCAACAGUAAGUAAUGCUUAUGCAGGAGAAUCUGCAUGUGACGCAUACCUGUAUCACCUCUUAGUGUGGCCCUCUCAGUCAGACCCAUAACUGUAUUUUUCUGCCUCUGGAGGUGGAUUUGACUAAAAGACUAUUAACAUAUGAGGGAAUAGCUCCUUCUUGUCCACACAUUAAUGCUUGGAGAUGGGAAGCAUUCAAGCUGUGCUCUGAGACAAUAGAUGAUCUUUAAAUCAGAUUUACUGGAAACUGUAUGGAGGUUGUUUUGUUAAUCUCUGUCAAUAAUAUUGGUCAUCAUAUGAAGUAAAGAAGAGCUAUAAAUCAUUAAAAACCAAUUAAAGUAUACAACCCCAAGUAGAGAAUCAUUGAAAUUACCUUUGCUUUGUUCUGGGUUUGAGGCACAAAGGAAAAGAGAGGCCCUUCUCUGCUGCAGCUCUUCAAAAAUCAAAACCUACCCCCUUCUGUCUCUCUCUCUCUCAUAAGUCAUAACAAGCUGUACAGAAGGAGGAAUCUGACGUUUGGG